Molecule: ribosomal RNA, 144 nt
Filed under: Lepidoglyphus destructor
Lineage: Eukaryota; Metazoa; Arthropoda; Arachnida; Sarcoptiformes; Glycyphagidae
Description: partial 28S large subunit ribosomal RNA
Rfam family: Eukaryotic large subunit ribosomal RNA
Source: RNAcentral
CCUAACAUAUACGCAAGUCGCUCGGUCUUGAAUAGGCCCGGGAGGCGAAAUGAAAGUAAAGUUACGAGGCCUUAACCGGUCGCAGUAACGGCCCGCCGGCUUCAUUUAUUGGUGAUAUGGCGGAGCUGGAGCGUAUACGUUGGU